AUUGAACGCUGGCGGCAUGCCUUACACAUGCAAGUCGAACGGCAGCACGGGAGCAAUCCUGGUGGCGAGUGGCGAACGGGUGAGUAAAGUAUCGGAACGUGCCCAGUCGUGGGGGAUAACGUAGCGAAAGUUACGCUAAUACCGCAUACGAUCUAUGGAUGAAAGCGGGGGAUCGCAAGACCUCGCGCGAUUGGAGCGGCCGAUAGCAGAUUAGGUAGUUGGUGGGGUAAAGGCUCACCCAGCCGACGAUCUGUAGCUGGUCUGAGAGGACGACCAGCCACACUGGGACUGAGACACGGCCCAGACUCCUACGGGAGGCAGCAGUGGGGAAUUUUGGACAAUGGGCGAAAGCCUGAUCCAGCCAUGCCGCGUGCAGGAUGAAGGCCUUCGGGUUGUAAACUGCUUUUGUACGGAACGAAAAGGUUUGGCCUAAUAAGCUGAGCUCAUGACGGUACCGUAAGAAUAAGCACCGGCUAACUACGUGCCAGCAGCCGCCGUAA
This 500-nucleotide ribosomal RNA is filed under the name uncultured bacterium. Its description in RNAcentral is "partial 16S ribosomal RNA". It matches the Rfam family "Bacterial small subunit ribosomal RNA", at positions 30 to 523 of the family's 1533-position model. The record is from RNAcentral.